UCCUGAAAAGUCAGGAAUAUCUCUGUCAUCUGUGUUAUGUGUCUAUUUCAUUUUCAGCCUGUGUAUAGCAGAAUGUAUAAGCAUAAAAUUCCAUUAUAGAUUUAGGGACCUUUGGACGGGGGGCGUCCUACUCAUAAUCCCCUGGUAAAAUCCCGGGCAGGGACAGCCCGUGUAUUACCUGAGGAUCAACAUGAAGCUGUCUUAGGGGGAAAACAAAUAGCUCGACUAUGGAAAACUAAAACAGGAUGGUGGAAUCCUGGUAUUUACCGAGGCCCUUUUGUGAUUAAACCACCACCCACACAUGAUCCCAUAAAAGUGGAAAAACAAAAGGCAGUGAGUUCUCUCAGCCAAUUUCUCAGCCAAUUACAGGUCAACCUUCUCGUCUACCCCUCUCACUGCUGCGCUUGACUGGUCUUUGGGUAUAGAGAUUGGGCGAAUUGUCCUUGGCAUAAUCGUGGACAAUAUAAUGUAACCCAAAGUGGCUGGACUUCAAGAACUUGGCCACCCUGGACAAGAUGGACAAAGCCUAUGUGGCAAUGGUUUUGCAAAAAGAUUAAUUGUUAUAAAAACUGUGGAAGGUAUUGCAAGAUUAAGCAUAAGUGUAAAGCAGUGUGAAGUCAAUUGUUACUCUAAAUCAACUAAACAAAAGCUCAUUGCAUUUGUGUGUGUAUGCGGAACUGUACUAUGUGCCACUUGGAAAAUUUUGUCUCUGGGAAAUAAUGUUUAUGAUUAUAUCUUGUACUGCCCCUUUGUUGAUCAUGCGAUGUUAUGCUUUUGUAAGCUUAUGAUAUAAAAGACCAUGUAAAAAAUAAAGAGCAGAGGCUUCUUUUUUCUGCAGAAUGAAAAUAUAAGACACUCUACCGCUCGUUCUUUUUUCGCCGAACUCUACCCCUCCUCUGGUAACCCUGUUCAUUGCUGAGGCUGGCCCCCGGCAACUGGCGCCCGAACAGGGACCUGAAGGACGAAACUUCCCCUUUGUGGAUACCCGACAGACUCAUCAGACAUGCAAGACCCAAAAACCACCAAAAUUCCUCCAACACUUCCCCCCUCACUGCUCACAAACCUAACACCUCCCACGACUCUUCUGAGAAAUCUGUCUCUUGAAAAUGCUCCAUCUACACCCCCACCUUCGCCUGUCUCUAGUUCUCCCUCCUCUUCAUCUUCUACUCCACCCCUUCUCACUGACUUUAUACAACCCUCUACAAACCUCAACAACUCUUCAUCUCGAGACAAAGUGCGGUGGAGAAGCCGGAGACAUACUCCCUAUUCAAGAACCCAUCAAACCAUUGCGGCUGAGCCCCCAACUUGGGGCCAACUCAAAAAACUUACUCAUCUGGCUCACAUCUUAACCGUGGAUCAACAUAUUCCCGUAAAUGCGGGUACUCUUUUUGUGGCAAUGCUCGCUAUCAUUUCCUGUCAGUCAUCUUCCGAAUCUUAAAUCAAGCUAUCCAAAAGGUGGCUUCAGAUCUUCAUCUAGCGAAAUUAAAAAAUAAAAAAGGGGGAGAUGCUGGGAGCCAGGCUGCAAGGGCGGCCUCUCUGCACCCACUGCCCCCAGCAUAAACAUUGAAGAAUUCCUGAAAAGUCAGGAAGAGCCAGGCUGCAAGGGCGGCCCCUCUGCACCCACUGCCCCCAGCAUAAACAUCGAAGAAUUCCUGAAAAGUCAGGAAUAUCUCUGUCAUCUGUGUUAUGUGUCUAUUUCAUUUUCAGCCUGUGUAUAGCAGAAUGUAUAAGCAUAAAAUUCCAUUAUAGAUUUAGGGACCUUUGGACGGGGGGCGUCCUACUCAUAAUCCCCUGGUAAAAUCCCGGGCAGGGACAGCCCGUGUAUUACCUGAGGAUCAACAUGAAGCUGUCUUAGGGGGAAAACAAAUAGCUCGACUAUGGAAAACUAAAACAGGAUGGUGGAAUCCUGGUAUUUACCGAGGCCCUUUUGUGAUUAAACCACCACCCACACAUGAUCCCAUAAAAGUGGAAAAACAAAAGGCAGUGAGUUCUCUCAGCCAAUUUCUCAGCCAAUUACAGGUCAACCUUCUCGUCUACCCCUCUCACUGCUGCGCUUGACUGGUCUUUGGGUAUAGAGAUUGGGCGAAUUGUCCUUGGCAUAAUCGUGGACAAUAUAAUGUAACCCAAAGUGGCUGGACUUCAAGAACUUGGCCACCCUGGACAAGAUGGACAAAGCCUAUGUGGCAAUGGUUUUGCAAAAAGAUUAAUUGUUAUAAAAACUGUGGAAGGUAUUGCAAGAUUAAGCAUAAGUGUAAAGCAGUGUGAAGUCAAUUGUUACUCUAAAUCAACUAAACAAAAGCUCAUUGCAUUUGUGUGUGUAUGCGGAACUGUACUAUGUGCCACUUGGAAAAUUUUGUCUCUGGGAAAUAAUGUUUAUGAUUAUAUCUUGUACUGCCCCUUUGUUGAUCAUGCGAUGUUAUGCUUUUGUAAGCUUAUGAUAUAAAAGACCAUGUAAAAAAUAAAGAGCAGAGGCUUCUUUUUUCUGCAGAAUGAAAAUAUAAGACACACGACCUCUCAUUC
Molecule: long non-coding RNA, 2520 nt
Organism: Loxodonta africana (African savanna elephant)
Lineage: Eukaryota; Metazoa; Chordata; Mammalia; Proboscidea; Elephantidae
Exons: 3
Source: RefSeq, a predicted model, not a curated record